AGUCUAGUCUGUGACCUGAGCCAUCAUGGUAGGGUGUCCAGGGUGAGGGGAGGGUGGUGUGAAUCCCCAGUAAUGCAGGUCCUUUCCAGGCCAGGCCCCUGGUCCCCAGGAGUGCGGGGAUGCCUGAGGUCUACUGCUGCCUUAUCCAGAGCUGCCAUCCCCGGCGAUGACUCAGAGUUCCUGUGGCCCCAGCAUCAUCCCUCCAUCCCUGGCUGUGAGGCAGGAGCAGAGUUGCAGACCUGAGAGGCCUUGAAUUUGUUUGAUAUAGGACUUUGCCACCAGACAAAGUGCUUUGCCUGUGAGGUCUGGCUUGGCCUGGCCUCUGAGAAAGAACAAACACAGACCUCACUGGAAGGAACCUGGAGAACGGGAGAGGAGAGGCUGCUGCUGUCUGCCCUCCCAGCAGCAGAUAUAAAGACAAUGGGCUUCUAAGUCCCCUAGAGUCCCAGCUGUGUAAUUUAAGGCGAGUUCAUCUCUCACAGCCUCAGUUUCCUCAUUUGCUGGCACCUGUCUUUCUCCUUCAUAGCCAUUGUCACUGUUGCAAUGAUAUCAACAAUGCUUACAUUUCAGAUAGAUCCCCAGCUGGGUUGAAAGGAACGUCAAGACCCUUCCUUUCUUAUGACCUAUGUAUCAACUCCCUUCUACCUUGCCUCCCUCCACUUGGAGCGAGUUCUAGUUGGUGAAAUGUAGCCAGAGGUUCCUGGAAAGGCUUUCCUUCUCAAGUAAAGCCUGGCUCAGAGAAAACCACUGGUCUCUUUCCUUUUCUUCCUCCUGACAUGAACAUGGGGCAGGAAGGAGCAUGGAGAAGACAAGAACAAGGCUCUCAGAAGGAAAUGGUGUGGCUGGAGCCAUGAGAACUGGUUGUGGAGGGGGCAAAUAUAAUUUCUGACCUACGUAAUGAUGUAUGCACAAGAAGCCUCUCUUGAAUGUAUUAAUUCAGUAAACAGUUAUGGAGUCCUUACAAUGUGCUAGUGGGACUUUGAAGAUGAAUCCAAAUUUGGAUCCUGGCCUGGAAAGGCUCAAAGCCCAAUAUGGGAGCCUGGAUACAAAUGUGAAACUUAUCUUCUUUUAUUAACCAAUCAAUCACCUCCUGCCAAAACAACAUCAGCAAAAACAACAGAAAAAAACAAAAACAAAAACAAAAACAAAUCUGUGUACACAAGACCUUUGUUUCCACAGCAGACUUGGCUAAAGGUUUGGGCAUGCAUAUGCAUACCCCCAAAAUUAAAAAUGGAAAAUUGAA
Molecule: long non-coding RNA, 1243 nt
Filed under: Homo sapiens (human)
Lineage: Eukaryota; Metazoa; Chordata; Mammalia; Primates; Hominidae
Description: long intergenic non-protein coding RNA 1227
Source: RNAcentral